RNAcentral lists this ribosomal RNA (250 nucleotides) under uncultured prokaryote. Its description in RNAcentral is "partial 16S ribosomal RNA". It matches the Rfam family "Bacterial small subunit ribosomal RNA", at positions 524 to 773 of the family's 1533-position model. The record is from RNAcentral.
UACGGAGGGGGCUAGCGUUAUUCGGAAUUACUGGGCGUAAAGCGCACGUAGACGGAUCGGAAAGUCAGAGGUGAAAUCCCAGGGCUCAACCCUGGAACUGCCUUUGAAACUCCCGAUCUUGAGGUCGAGAGAGGUGAGUGGAAUUCCGAGUGUAGAGGUGAAAUUCGUAGAUAUUCGGAGGAACACCAGUGGCGAAGGCGGCUCACUGGCUCGAUACUGACGCUGAGGUGCGAAAGCGUGGGGAGCAAAC